Long non-coding RNA from Olea europaea var. sylvestris, 1608 nucleotides. RefSeq lists it as uncharacterized. The transcript is spliced from 2 exons. NCBI's taxonomy places the organism in Eukaryota, Viridiplantae, Streptophyta, Magnoliopsida, Lamiales, Oleaceae. The record is from RefSeq and is a predicted model, not a curated record.
CCGGCCCGCAAGCCUUACACUCAAACGGCAACAAAGCCACCAAAAUCGGCGUCUCCCUCAUUAUUUUUCUUCAAAAUUUCUACAAUCUCUCACCAAAUUCUUCCAAAUUUCAUGUGGGCAUUGAAGAUUGAACACUACAACAUCAUUCAUUAACUAUUUCGCACUUACAUCCAUCAAAUUUCGAGAAAUCAAAGAUAUGGCACCAAAGAGAAAGAAUACUCCGUCCACUUCAAAAGGCAACAAAAGGUCUCGGGAUCUUCUAUCUCAGCUCGCACUCAACUUGAUGAUAGGGGUCAAGGCAUUUUUGAACCCUUGAACACAAAGAUAGAUUUGAUAAUGUGGUCUCAAGAUGGAAAGUAUGGCCAAAACGACAAAUAGUGGUAGGAGACUUUGUAGGGUUUGAGAUGACCCAGUUGAUUCAUUUAAUAGAAUGAGAAACAGCAUCAGGUGAUUUCAGAAGGUUUACCCUACCUUGAUGCAAGAGUUCUAUGCCAACUUUAAUGCAAAGUUAGACACACUGGGAUCGAACAUAUGCAUCAGACAUGGAUUCAAGACAAACAGAUAGUAUUCUCGCUAGAAGUGAUUGAUACUUACUACGGACUGACUAGGUCAAUAUGGCAAUAUCGUGCCAGUACCAAUGAAUCCAGAUAUGUCAAUCAUUGCAAAAAUAUUGUAUGGGAGAGAUAACACAUGGCCACUCCUAGAAAAUGAAUUAGAGUACUGAUAUCUGAUAGACUCUCUUGUGAUCCUAUAAAAAUUCAUUGGUUACAACAUCAAUCUAAGCUCACACCGCACCACCAUCAAUCAUCUUAAAGCCAUUCUCUUGCAUCAUCUUGCACAAGGUUUUAAGAUUGAAUUAGGAUCUCUAAUUUAUGAUCUCAUAUGUUUUGUGGUAAUAGUCCAAACCUCAAAUAUAUAAAAAUCUUUCUCAAUCUCAUUUUUGGCAUAUGUCGUACGUCGGGUGUCAAAUACCUUCGAGGGAAGUUACUAUGUAAAAUUCAUCUGGAUUAAUGUAUUAUCAACUACCAAGACAUGGCAAUCCAUCAGACAGUAGAGACAUCGGCACAGUUAAUCGCAUGACCAAGAAGACCUAAAGACGGAUGAUCACAUUCCACCUCUUGCAUAGCGAGAAGCCAAUACCUGAUUUUCGGGUUAUUAGGCAGUUUGCUGGGCUGAGAAAGAUAAAUAGGACAUUAUGGCAUAUAGAACAAAUGAUGAUAGCUUCAUAGGCUAGGGAACAAGCAAGAGAUAAUAGGGAGCAUGGUAAGAAUGCUAGGAUGUAAGGUAUAGAGCGAGAUAUGAGCAAGCUCUCAAGUGAGCUAUUGACUUUACAUAUGGAGCAUGACCUCAUGGGGAGACAAUUAGAUCGAUGCACAAGACUAGUUGAGGGCACACACAUUAGAAAUGAGGCCAUACACAAUAGACUGGAGGACAUGAAUACAAGAGUGCGGGCCUUGUACAGCAGAUCAGAAGAUAUAUACAAAUAGGUUAACUAGAUGUGUGUAAUGAUUAGAGAACUUUACUCUCGAUCCACUCAUCCGCCACCAUCCACUUUGAACCCGUCUGGAGACAUCAUUCUAUCUACCACAUGUGGACUGAUUUUAAGAG